Molecule: ribosomal RNA, 433 nt
Filed under: uncultured bacterium
Lineage: Bacteria
Description: partial 16S ribosomal RNA
Rfam family: Bacterial small subunit ribosomal RNA
Source: RNAcentral
AACGAACGCUGGCGGCAUGCCUAACACAUGCAAGUCGAACGAGACCUUCGGGUCUAGUGGCGCACGGGCGCGUAACGCGUGGGAACCUGCCCUUAGGUUCGGAAUAACUCCCCGAAAGGGGUGCUAAUACCGGAUAAUGUCUUCGGACCAAAGAUUUAUCGCCUUUGGAUGGGCCCGCGUUGGAUUAGCUAGUUGGUAGGGUAAAAGCCUACCAAGGCGACGAUCCAUAGCUGGUCUGAGAGGAUGAUCAGCCACACUGGGACUGAGACACGGCCCAGACUCCUACGGGAGGCAGCAGUGGGGAAUAUUGGACAAUGGGCGAAAGCCUGAUCCAGCAAUGCCGCGUGAGUGAUGAAGGCCUUAGGGUUGUAAAGCUCUUUUACCCGGGAUGAUAAUGACAGUACCGGGAGAAUAAGCUCCGGCCAACUCCGUG